UGGUGCCAGCAGCCGCGGUAAUUCCAGCUCCAAUAGCGUAUAUUAAAGUUGUUGCAGUUAAAAAGCUCGUAGUUGGAUGUCUGCUGGAAGCAAUCAGUCCGCCCUAUUUGUAGGGUGUGCACUUGAUGAAUUCUGGCAUUUUUGUCCCAAUGAUGUAACGGGGCGGUGGUAUUCGGUGAAAGCCGAGUAUCCUGUUUUCCGAUUAUUGGGAUACUGUUACUUUGAGAAAAUUAGAGUGUUUGAAGCAGGCUAAUUGCCUUGAAUACUGCAGCAUGGAAUAACAAUAUAGGAUUCGGUUCUAUUUUGUUGGUUUCUAGGACUGAAAUAAUGAUUAAUAGGACAG
This 343-nucleotide ribosomal RNA is filed under the name Sarcocystis sp. Fu 12-129. RNAcentral describes it as "bacterial SSU rRNA". It matches the Rfam family "Eukaryotic small subunit ribosomal RNA", at positions 562 to 880 of the family's 1831-position model. Lineage: Eukaryota; Apicomplexa; Conoidasida; Eucoccidiorida; Sarcocystidae. The record is from RNAcentral.